GUUAGGAAUCUUGCGCAAUGGGCGAAAGCCUGACGCAGCAACGCCGCGUGCGGGAUGAAGGCCUUAGGGUUGUAAACCGCUUUCGGCAGGGACGAAAACAGACGGUACCUGCAGAAGAAGCCCCGGCCAACUACGUGCCAGCAGCCGCGGUAACACGUAGGGGGCGAGCGUUGUCCGGAUUUAUUGGGCGUAAAGAGCUCGUAGGCGGCUCGGUAAGUCGGGUGUGAAACCUCCAGGCUCAACCUGGAGACGCCACUCGAUACUGCCGUGGCUAGAGUCCGGUAGAGGAGCGUAGAAUUCCUGGUGUAGCGGUGAAAUGCGCAGAUAUCAGGAGGAAUACCAGCGGCGAAGGCGGCGCUCUGGGCCGGUACUGACGCUGAGGAGCGAAAGCGUGGGGAGCAAACAGGAUUAGAAACCCGAGUAGUCC
RNAcentral lists this ribosomal RNA (427 nucleotides) under uncultured bacterium. Its description in RNAcentral is "bacterial SSU rRNA". It matches the Rfam family "Bacterial small subunit ribosomal RNA", at positions 354 to 796 of the family's 1533-position model. The record is from RNAcentral.